AACGAACGCUGGCGGCAUGCCUAACACAUGCAAGUCGAACGAGAUCUUCGGGUCUAGUGGCGCACGGGUGCGUAACGCGUGGGACUCUGCCCUUUGGUUCGGAAUAACAGUUGGAAACGACUGCUAAUACCGGAUGAUGACGAAAGUCCAAAGAUUUAUCGCCAGAGGAUGAGCCCGCGUAGGAUUAGCUAGUUGGUGUGGUAAAGGCGCCCCAAGGCGACGAUCCUUAGCUGGUCUGAGAGGAUGAUCAGCCACACUGGGACUGAGACACGGCCCAGACUCCUACGGGAGGCAGCAGUGGGGAAUAUUGGACAAUGGGCGAAAGCCUGAUUCAGCAAUGCCGCGUGAGUGAUGAAGGCCUUAGGGUUGUAAAGCUCUUUUACCCGGGAUGAUAAUGACAGUACCGGGAGAAUAAGCUCCGGCUAACUCCGUGCCAGCCGCCGCGGUAA
This 449-nucleotide ribosomal RNA is filed under the name uncultured bacterium. RNAcentral describes it as "partial 16S ribosomal RNA". It matches the Rfam family "Bacterial small subunit ribosomal RNA", at positions 29 to 523 of the family's 1533-position model. The record is from RNAcentral.